UCCGGUUUGUCACCGGCAGUCUCGCAUGAGUCCCCGACUAAAUGCUGGCAACAUGCGACGGGGGUUGCGCUCGUUGCGGGACUUAACCCAACAUCUCACGACACGAGCUGACGACAGCCAUGCACCACCUGUGAAAGUGUCCCGAAGGAAAGCCGUGUUUCCACGGCGGUCACUCACAUGUCAAGCCCAGGUAAGGUGGGGAUGACGUCAGUGCUUGCCU
This 220-nucleotide unclassified non-coding RNA is filed under the name uncultured Solirubrobacteraceae bacterium. Its description in RNAcentral is "contains 16S-23S intergenic spacer region". The record is from RNAcentral. Lineage: Bacteria; Bacillati; Actinomycetota; Thermoleophilia; Solirubrobacterales; Solirubrobacteraceae.